Molecule: long non-coding RNA, 3188 nt
Filed under: Theobroma cacao (cacao)
Lineage: Eukaryota; Viridiplantae; Streptophyta; Magnoliopsida; Malvales; Malvaceae
Description: long non-coding RNA (TCAC_LNC001312)
Source: RNAcentral
AUAACUCGUGACAUACUUUGUAUGAUAAUUUUAUGUCAUGUUUGCGGUUAAAUCAAUAAAAAAAACUGUGUUAUGUCAUUCUCCUACUACUAUGCUUGGAAAGUCGAGACCUAUCCUAAAAAUUUUCUCUAUAUAGUAACUUGUCUAGAUCUUUCUGUCUAUUUAUUUUGUUGUCAACCAUUUCUAGUUGGUACAGGAUAAUAUGCUGUUCAAAAAGUUUAAGAACCCAUUAUCUUUCUGUUGGUUUCCAAAUUAGGUUUUGAAAACUAAAUAAACAUUAAACUUUAAGGUAUUUGACAUGCACAUCCUUGACCUUAUUCUAUGAAGUGUCUGAUAUUGUGGGUAGCUAAUAGUCUGGUUGCAUUUGGUUCUGGACAAGUGACAGUGGAGGGCGCUUUGAAGCUGUAUGUUAAUGUGCCUAAGUGUGUGUUCUUACAUCCAUGGAAUUUCAAGAAGUAGGUGCUACAUGUUCUUUAAGAAUCCCCCCCAACCCCACCCCUUGUCACUACCUCUCUGUGUCCCACACACACAGAAUCUUCUCCUCUAUGAAGGCAUUAUCAUUUUUAACUUUUGCAAAUCAACUCUGAAUCCUAAUAAUUCCUGCACUUUCUCUUAUGCCUCUGUACCAUUACUUUUUUCUUUUUUUGCUAACCUUUCCACUUCUUGGUUCUAGCCAUAUUUUUGCAGAACUUCUUACUCUGUUUUGUAUCAAGUGUUAUAUGCUAUUUGUUUUGCAGUCUGUGGAUAAAUAACUAGUCAUGAUGUGAUCCCAAAGACUUAUAUUUUAGAAACUUAUAAAGUUAUAUGCAUACAGUGAUCCAUAAGAUCCAGUGUUUAAGAUGCAUUCUUACCUUUUUCCUUUUUGGCUGGCUGCUAAGUAGGGAGAUGAACAACAAACUGUUGAAGGCUUGCUACAUUCACUGGGGUUGGGAAAAUAUGUCAUCCUUUUCAAGGCAGAGGAAGUAAGUAAUAGAGUUCUUUAGUUAAAUUCUCCCUGAGUAAGGAUUAAUUUUUUUCUGAAAUAAAAAAAGUGUUCAUGAGAUGCAGGGGAAGAAUAGUCAGUGAAGAAAGAAGAUGAAUUACAUUAAUAUGUUAUUCUUAAUAAUAGUUUGUCGCUUGCUCUUUGUUUUUUUGUGUUACUUCAGUUCGUUUAAAUAGGCCCGGGCUACAAGCUGUGUGUUUCAGAAGUUUGGCACUAUUGGUGCAAUGCAAGAUCUUAGAAAUCUUUUUUCAGCUUCACCUAAUGCAGAUAGUUGUUGAAUUUUCUGAUUGGAAAAAAAUAUUAUAGCAUCAAUAGUGAUUUAAUUAAAUACAUCACUUUCAGGUUAGGUUGUCUAGCUUGGUUCUGGCCCGUUUGUGGUUAAUGUAAAGAUAUUUUUGCACAUAUAUGUGUAAGUGGUAAUAAACAUACUACUUUUGCAGAAGUGAAGAUUAAAAUGUAUGUCUGAUGUCCCUAAAUUGGAACCCCAGUGAUUAGAUCUAGAGAUAUUCAACAUUGAAUUCAUAUAUUUGAACCUUAAAAUUGGGUGGGGAGGGGGGGGUUGGAGUUUAUGGGAUGAAAAAGGGAUACCUCAUGUUUUGUAUCCUUAAGCUCAAUAAAUUUCCUCUUGUAAUAAAUAAUAUUUUAAAAAAAAGACAUGGAUGUUUCAUGAAGAAAGACAACACUUGGUCUCUCCCAUGCCAAAUUGGCGCCCAUCUCCCUGGAAUGGCAAAAAGGGAUGGGGCUAUUUUUUUUUUUUUUGAAAAGCAAUUUUAUUAGCCUUUCAACCGGCAUGCCAUUUGAUGUUCAGUAAUAGAAAGAUAACGAAUGUUUUUAUGCAGGUAUUGUGUUUGUUGUUGUAGGAAAUUUUUAUUCAGGAUAAUUAAAUAGGGAAUAUUACCACUAAUAUUUUCUUGUAGCUCUAAUAGUUUCCAAUUGAUGCUUGGCUUGUGUUACAAAGCCGCAGGCAUGUCCACUAUCUUUUGUGAUUUUAUUUAAAAUAAAAUAUUGACUUGAAAAAUGUUGGAUAUGGUCAUUUUGCCUAAAAUGACUGACAUUAGCGUGUUUCAAAUGGUUGCAAAUACUGGUAAUGUUGUUAAAAAAGUAUAAUUUCCUAGAUGGAGGUGGUUGCUUUAGCUGUUCUAUCAGACAAAUCUUGAAGAUUUACUUUACUCUGUAUUUACGUUGUUGAAAUCCCAUGGAUUUAUAUUAUGAUGUUCAUUGGAGAAUUGCUUGUUGGUUUGUUUUAUCCGCACUCUCCUUGUUUGGCUGAUCUGGAGAUUUGAUCUUUUACUCAGGUGGAUAUGACUGCAUUGAAACAGAUGGGGGAAAAUGACCUGAAAGAGCUAGGAAUACCUAUGGUAUUGUACCCUUUUUUUUGUAUUUGUAUUGUUUAUUGUCAAAAUUUUCUGUUCUAAUUUUCAUGAUUGAUGCGUCCAAACUAAUAACUGCUGCUUAACUCAGAUCUGAUGAGUUAGAUUCUCAAAGUUGAAUUUUUCAAGCAUGUCUAUAUAGUUCUCAUAUUUUCUUAAUUAGAUGUCAUCAGUUCUGAAAACAUUUUUGUUAAAGUAAUCUUUAUUCUGUGCAUGUAACUGGGACUGAUUUGAGUGCCUAAGUACAAUAUGCUUUAUCUGUGUCUGUGGGCCUCUAUUUCUUUUACAUGGAAUUUGGGUUACCUGUUGCCUAAGCCAAAUUCACUCUAACUCAAGGCUCUCAUGUAGUUCUGUGCCUCUGUUCAUUAACUGUUCUGGAUAAUUGGUGGCUUGAGAAUAUAAAGCUUGCUAUGAAGUUGAUUAGAUGGAUUAUAGUUGAUAAGUUUCAGUAAGCACUAUGUACUAGGAAAUCAUGGAUUUUCCUUGCUGCUAAGUUCUAGUUAAAGUUACGGCUUACUGCUGAGUAACCUGCCAACUAAUUGUUUGACUUUGGAGGGACUGCAGUAUCCAGCUGCUAAUCAAGGUGCGGAUGACAACAUUUGCAGUAUGCCUCUUGCUCACAUUGAAUUUUAUGGGAUUUGAAGUAGUAAAAUGGGCUGUGAUCAGAGUGUUUUCUAGAAUCAAAUCCUGCCAAUAAAAAACAAAUCUAUGAUCAUGAUCAUUAUUCAUUUGAAUGUAGUUUGGUAACGGUUCACUCUCUCUCUGUCUCUGAGUGUGUGCAAAAUGUUAUCUUAAGGUAUAGCUGUUGUAAUUUACAUAACAUGCCAAGUUGUCCC